UUUUUCCCACCGCUUUACCAAAUAUCCCUCGUUCUCUCUCUCUCAAAUCAUCACCCCUUUCUAAAAUAUCUCCCUCUUCGUUCGCUCUGGGAGAUCGCCAUGGCCGAAAUUCGUCGAUCUCAUCGCUGAACUCGUCGCUAAUCUCUUCGCCGUUUUCCGAUCUCAUCGUCUCCGAUCUCAACUCUGAUUUCAUCGUUGAUCUUGUAACUAAUCUCUUCGUCGAGCUGCUGGUCUCGUCUCCGAUCUCAUCUCCGAUAUAGGUCGUCGAGCUCGCAGCUAAUCCGUCUCCGAUCUCACUCUCCUUUGGACUCUCAGGUGUAGAGAAAGUGACGGUGGAUAUCGAAAGCAACAAGCUCACCGUAAUUGGGAAAGUGGACCCAAUAGAGAUCCGCGAUCUGGUUCAGAGCAAAAGUCGCAAGAAAGUGGAGCUCAUCUCGCCUCAACCAAAGAAGAACAAGGACGGCAAGAAGGAGGAUGCUCCCAAGUCCAAAGAGCCUUCAUUGGUGACUGUGGAGUUAAAAAUUCGGUUGCAUUGUGAGGGUUGCACUAAGAAAACCAGAAAGAAAAUUAUGGGUAUUAAAGGGGUGGCAAGUGUGUCCAUGGACCCUGCAAAGGACCAGGUCACGGUGAAAGGUAACCUUUUGUGUAGCUGUUCAAAAUGAGACCCUCUCCACCUUGGCAAUAUAAAUACUGAAUAGAAUGUGAAGUUUUAUUAAUUAGUUUUGAUUUUAACUUGUAUAUUGUUAUGUUAUUGUAGGAGAAGUAUUCAAUUGCCGAUUCAGGACGAAAAUAGACCUUACAAACAAUUAAUAGUGCAUGGAAAAGAAAUGUUGUGAAUGUAGAAUAUAGGAAAAGGGUAUGCAACUGGGGAAAUCCAUAACAGAAAUCCUAAUGGAAUGUUGUGCAACUCUUCAGUACUUGUAAUUUGUAGGGUUCAAGUUCAAAUUACAAAAAUCUUAGUUCUUAUGUUGAAGAUUACCAACUAAUAAGAACUAACGAAUGUUUGUGUUCAGCCCUAAUGGAUGUUGAAGAGUACUAACUGAUAUUUGUGUUUAAACAUUCAGUUCUUAUGUUUUUGUUUGCAAUAAUAUGUUUCGGUGCUUCAAGGAUAUUGACAUCUCACUAUUUUGAGACCAUGGUGAUUGUAUCUGUAUGUCUAAAUAUCCUAUUAUAUGUAAAAUGAUUAUUCUCCCUCCUA
Long non-coding RNA from Asparagus officinalis (garden asparagus), 1198 nucleotides. RefSeq lists it as uncharacterized. The record is from RefSeq and is a predicted model, not a curated record. NCBI's taxonomy places the organism in Eukaryota, Viridiplantae, Streptophyta, Magnoliopsida, Asparagales, Asparagaceae. The transcript has 4 exons.